GCACUGAUAGUUUAGUGGCAGAAUGCAGCUUUCCCAAGGCUGCGGCUCGGGUUCGAUUCCCGGUCAGUGCA
Transfer RNA from Rhodotorula sp. JG-1b, 71 nucleotides. It matches the Rfam family "tRNA". From Rfam's summary of the family: Transfer RNA (tRNA) molecules are approximately 80 nucleotides in length. Their secondary structure includes four short double-helical elements and three loops (D, anti-codon, and T loops). NCBI's taxonomy places the organism in Eukaryota, Fungi, Basidiomycota, Microbotryomycetes, Sporidiobolales, Sporidiobolaceae. The record is from Rfam.